This 1563-nucleotide long non-coding RNA is filed under the name Homo sapiens (human). RNAcentral describes it as "HSALNT0306872". The record is from RNAcentral. Lineage: Eukaryota; Metazoa; Chordata; Mammalia; Primates; Hominidae.
AGCCGUGGGGGAGGGGAAAGGGCGCGCGGCCUCGGAUGCGCAGACCCUGGGCCGGCGACUCGGGGACCCUGCUCCCUCUUAGCUAAAAAUGACGUCGGCGUUCAGCUCCUCCAACCUCACGUGGACAGGCGAGGGAACCGAGACCCAGAGAGGGCAGGGGACUUUGGCAAACUCACACAGCCCACCGCAGGCAACUGGAACUGAAACCCAGGACUCCGUCUCUUGCCAGUGAAAGUUAUGUUAGGAAGCAGUGAGGGGUCUAAAGCAGUAUGAAAGGCAAAGAGAAAAGGUGAUUGUUCCCUCUUGAAUGGCCCUUGGAAGCUGAGUAUCUGGAUUCACCCUCCCUAGGGAAUUUCCCGAUUGUCUUGCAGGCUUACACACUCAUCAAGAUGACAAAAAUAAUGACAGUAACACUUAUGUGGAACUUGACUUUUUCCCAGGUGCUGCUCUAAGCAUUUACUGUGUUUGUUUUACAGGAAGGAAGACUGUACACAGAGAAUAAAUAACUUGGCCAAGCCAUUCAGCUAGGAAGUUGUAGAUCCUAAAUUAAGAGUUCAAGGUCUUAAUGGCUACUCUAUGCGGCCUCUCAUAGUCUUUUCAAGGGUUUUGGAGAAGAAUAAAAGAUCAGUUGCUUGUGAUACAUCAGUAUCCUCACUCACCCCCAACUCCAGAGGCUGAAACUAACUCUCCUCCUCCCUCUUCCAACUGCUGAGGAAGAUGAGUCAAUGGUGUUACUGGACCCUGUGAACUGAUGCUGUGAAGAGAGGCCAUUUAACACGGACUACGGGGAAUGGUGCCACAGGGGGCUCAGUGCUGCCCUUCACUCUCAGCAUUUUGCUCACUCAGCAUUGAUGACAGGAUGUCCCAAAAGUAACAAAAGAUGGGAGCCAGUCCUCUCAUAGCUGUUUCUUCAAUCAUCCCAUCAACAGCUCUUCAUUUAUUGAACUACCUUCCUUUUCCAAAGAGGUAAUGCUGAGAUCAGUCAGAAAGGCUUUCUGAGAAAACUGGCUUGGAUUUCUGGGUCUGUUGCAGUCAAUUCAAGAUGAACUGGCUUGUAUCAAUGAAGCGCUCAAUGCAGUUCACAAAACAGGCCUCAGCCCGACUGUCCAACUUUGGCCCAGGCUUGUCCAUGCACUUCUCCCAACAAAGUUCAGUCAUCUGGUGCACCAGCUGCUGGAAGCGCUGCUUUUGAGUCUCUACCUCAAUGAAAAUGCUGCAACUGCGGGUCCACUGCACCCAAACCCGCCGCAGAGGAAGAGCAGGAGGAAUCCAUCCCAGGACAACCAUGCUUGCAGAGACGAACUCCGCACCAACCUUCACGUGUCUCCACGACCUAGUUAAUCAAUUUAAAAUGAGGUCACUAGGGUGGGCCCCAAUCCAAUAUGACUGAUAACUUUAUAAAAAGGAGAGAUUUGGAUACAGAAAGAGACAGAGUGAAAACCAUGUGAAGAAACAUAGGAAAAGAUGGCAGCUACAAGCCAAGGAGAAGCUUGCAGUGUGUAUUCAUCUGUUCUCAUGCUGUUAAUAAAGACAUACCUGAGACUGGGUAAUUUAUAAAGGAAA